CAAUAGCGUAUAUUUAAGUUGUUGCAGUUAAAAAGCUCGUAGUUGGAUUUCGGUUAAGAGCGACCGGUCCGCCGUUUGGUGUGCACUGGUUGGUUUUAACUUCCUGUAGAGGACGUGCUCUGGGCUUAACGACCUGGACUCGGAGUCUACGUGGUUACUUUGAAAAAAUUAGAGUGUUCAAAGCGGGCUUACGCUUGAAUAUUUCAGCAUGGAAUAACACUAUAGGACUCCUGUCCUAUUUCGUUGGUCUCGGGACGGGAGUAAUGAUUAAGAGGAACAGUUGGGGGCAUUCGUAUUUCAUUGUCAGAGGUGAAAUUCUUGGAUUUAUGAAAGACGAACUUCUGCGAAAGCAUUUGCCAAGGAUGCUUNCAUUAA
Molecule: ribosomal RNA, 375 nt
Filed under: uncultured eukaryote
Lineage: Eukaryota
Description: partial 18S ribosomal RNA
Rfam family: Eukaryotic small subunit ribosomal RNA
Source: RNAcentral